RNAcentral lists this ribosomal RNA (785 nucleotides) under uncultured marine bacterium. RNAcentral's name for it is "bacterial SSU rRNA". It matches the Rfam family "Bacterial small subunit ribosomal RNA", at positions 14 to 794 of the family's 1533-position model. The record is from RNAcentral.
UGAUCCUGGCUCAGAUUGAACGCUGGCGGCAGGCCUAACACAUGCAAGUCGAGCGGAUGAGAGGAGCUUGCUCCUUGAUUUAGCGGCGGACGGGUGAGUAAUGCCUAGGAAUCUGCCUGGUAGUGGGGGAUAACGUUCCGAAAGGAACGCUAAUACCGCAUACGUCCUACGGGAGAAAGCAGGGGACCUUCGGGCCUUGCGCUAUCAGAUGAGCCUAGGUCGGAUUAGCUAGUUGGUGAGGUAAUGGCUCACCAAGGCGACGAUCCGUAACUGGUCAGAGAGGAUGAUCAGUCACACUGGAACUGAGACACGGUCCAGACUCCUACGGGAGGCAGCAGUGGGGAAUAUUGGACAAUGGGCGAAAGCCUGAUCCAGCCAUGCCGCGUGUGUGAAGAAGGUCUUCGGAUUGUAAAGCACUUUAAGUUGGGAGGAAGGGCAUUAACCUAAUACGUUAGUGUUUUGACGUUACCGACAGAAUAAGCACCGGCUAACUUCGUGCCAGCAGCCGCGGUAAUACGAAGGGUGCAAGCGUUAAUCGGAAUUACUGGGCGUAAAGCGCGCGUAGGUGGUUCGUUAAGUUGGAUGUGAAAGCCCCGGGCUCAACCUGGGAACUGCAUCCAAAACUGGCGAGCUAGAGUACGGUAGAGGGUGGUGGAAUUUCCUGUGUAGCGGUGAAAUGCGUAGAUAUAGGAAGGAACACCAGUGGCGAAGGCGACCACCCGGACUGAUACUGACACUGAGGUGCGAAAGCGUGGGGAGCAAACAGGAUUAGAUACCCUGGUAGU